GCAGAUUCUCUCACAAAGAAAGUAAUCUCCGGUCAAAAAACCCUGAAGGAGGCAUUUUCAACAACUAUGCCACACAACAGCGCAAGGGCUCAAGAAAUCACAAGGUACAUCGCGGAAUACAUAGCGUGUGAUUUACGUCCCUUUUCUGCAGUAGAUGGCAAAGGAUUUAAAAGAAACCUGAAGUGUUUUCCACAACAUAAUUGGCGUCACGAACAAGAUUGGCAUCGGGCUGGCUGGCUUUCGACUGCAGAAGGCGCCGUGGGUCGGGUCGCACAAACAACACAUGGCCACGUUGAGAGGGCCAACCGUGAGAGUUGAGGAGGCUGGCAGGAUUCGUGAUACCGGCUCGACGGCCCGAGCGACUGCAUGGACGAAUCCACCGCGCCGUGUCACCCUCAGUAGGAGAAGAAGACUGCU
Esox lucius (northern pike) is the source of this 417-nucleotide long non-coding RNA. Lineage: Eukaryota; Metazoa; Chordata; Actinopteri; Esociformes; Esocidae. The record is from Ensembl.